This 302-nucleotide signal recognition particle RNA is filed under the name Homo sapiens (human). It matches the Rfam family "Metazoan signal recognition particle RNA". From Rfam's summary of the family: The signal recognition particle (SRP) is a universally conserved ribonucleoprotein. It is involved in the co-translational targeting of proteins to membranes. The record is from RNAcentral. Lineage: Eukaryota; Metazoa; Chordata; Mammalia; Primates; Hominidae.
GCCGGGCGCGGUGGCGCGUGCCUGUAGUCCCAGCUACUCGGGAGGCUGAGGCUGGAGGAUCGCUUGAGUCCAGGAGUUCUGGGCUGUAGUGCGCUAUGCCGAUCGGGUGUCCGCACUAAGUUCGGCAUCAAUAUGGUGACCUCCCGGGAGCGGGGGACCACCAGGUUGCCUAAGGAGGGGUGGACCGGCCCAGGUCGGAAACGGAGCAGGUCAAAACUCCCGUGCUGAUCAGUAGUGGGAUCGCGCCUGUGAAUAGCCACUGCACUCCAGCCUGGGCAACAUAGCGAGACCCCGUCUCUUUU